CCCUUUCCAUCGAAUUGCGAUAAUUCGACCCUCGAACCCAUUAUAGAUUCUAUAAAAGAGUGGCCUGUACUCGUGGACACAACAAAAAAGGUUUUGAAAAAUUCUUUUCCGGAUGAUCAAUAUAAAACUGAGUACCGAGUUUUAAAAAACAAUUUUUAGAAAUGAAGCACAAUAGUGAAAUAAUCCGUUCACGAAACACAGGUAUAUAAAGCAGGUAAAUAUGCUUCCAGGUUACAAAUUAAUCACAAGAAUUCAAU
This 257-nucleotide long non-coding RNA is filed under the name Olea europaea (common olive). RNAcentral describes it as "long non-coding RNA (OEUR_LNC012893)". The record is from RNAcentral. Lineage: Eukaryota; Viridiplantae; Streptophyta; Magnoliopsida; Lamiales; Oleaceae.